GGGGUUGUGGCUUAGCAGUACAGUGCUCGCCUGGCAUGCGUGAGGCCCUGGGUUCGAUCCUCAGCACCA
Molecule: transfer RNA, 69 nt
Filed under: Urocitellus parryii (Arctic ground squirrel)
Lineage: Eukaryota; Metazoa; Chordata; Mammalia; Rodentia; Sciuridae
Also listed under: 2 other names
Description: Spermophilus parryii (Arctic ground squirrel) tRNA
Rfam family: tRNA
About the family: Transfer RNA (tRNA) molecules are approximately 80 nucleotides in length.
Source: Rfam by way of RNAcentral